Molecule: ribosomal RNA, 245 nt
Filed under: uncultured Eubacteriales bacterium
Lineage: Bacteria; Bacillati; Bacillota; Clostridia; Eubacteriales
Description: uncultured Clostridiales bacterium partial 16S ribosomal RNA
Rfam family: Bacterial small subunit ribosomal RNA
Source: RNAcentral
UACGUAGGGGGCGAGCGUUAUCCGGAAUCAUUGGGCGUAAAGGGUACGUAGGCGGUUUUUCAAGCAUGAGGUGAAAGGCAAUGGCUUAACCAUUGUGAGCCUUGUGAACUGUAAGACUUGAGUGCUGGAGAGGAAAGCGGAAUUCCUAGUGUAGCGGUGAAAUGCGUAGAUAUUAGGAGGAACACCAGUGGCGAAGGCGGCUUUCUGGACAGUAACUGACGCUGAGGUACGAAAGCGUGGGGAGC